CUUGUAAGAGCCCAGCACAGCACAGAUUUACAAAAUGAUACACAAAGACCUCAGAGUUUCCAGUCUUCCAACUACAGCAUUAACUCUAACCCAAGUUUCCAGCCUGGUGUUCUGCCUUGUGGAUUUCAGAUUUGCCAAGCCCCACAAUUACAUAAUGAAAUUCCUUAAAGAAGCGAACUUUUGCUAUUGCACAGACCUGCUGCCUCCAGAGCGCCACGCCACUGAUUGUUUUCCUUGUUUCGUGGAAGGAAGACAAAACUUGUUCCAGCUCAACAAGGCUUCCUAUAUCUUUUGCCCCAUCAGUUUGUAAUUGUCCCCAAAUUCCAAUAUCUAAAACAUAAGAUCAAUAUUUUAUAAAGUGCCAUUUUAGUUAUGCAUUAUUUAGCUUUUCCUAUGAUAAAUUUUCCUACAAAGGUGUCAAAGUUACCCUCUUGGGCCAAGAUACAAGUAAUCUAAUGUAUGACAUUAUUAGAGCAACUAUUGAAGAAAUGGGAAAGAAGCAGAAAGUAUUGAUAUAAUAAAAGAAAAUCUUGUGUUUUCUGAUUUUAAA
Molecule: long non-coding RNA, 550 nt
Filed under: Homo sapiens (human)
Lineage: Eukaryota; Metazoa; Chordata; Mammalia; Primates; Hominidae
Description: ABCA9 antisense RNA 1
Source: RNAcentral